Molecule: ribosomal RNA, 451 nt
Filed under: uncultured bacterium
Lineage: Bacteria
Description: bacterial SSU rRNA
Rfam family: Bacterial small subunit ribosomal RNA
Source: RNAcentral
AACGAACGCUGGCGGCAUGCCUAACACAUGCAAGUCGAACGAGACCUUCGGGUCUAGUGGCGCACGGGUGCGUAACGCGUGGGAAUCUGCCCUUGGGUUCGGAAUAACAGCGAGAAAUUGCUGCUAAUACCGGAUGAUGACGUAAGUCCAAAGAUUUAUCGCCCAAGGAUGAGCCCGCGUAGGAUUAGCUAGUUGGUGAGGUAAAGGCUCACCAAGGCGACGAUCCUUAGCUGGUCUGAGAGGAUGAUCAGCCACACUGGGACUGAGACACGGCCCAGACUCCUACGGGAGGCAGCAGUGGGGGAAUAUUGGACAAUGGGCGAAAGCCUGAUCCAGCAAUGCCGCGUGAGUGAUGAAGGCCUUAGGGUUGUAAAGCUCUUUACCCGGGUAUGAUAAUGACAGUACCGGGAGAAUAAGCCCCGGCUAACUCCGUGCCAGCAGCCGCGGUAAU